Molecule: long non-coding RNA, 647 nt
Filed under: Homo sapiens (human)
Lineage: Eukaryota; Metazoa; Chordata; Mammalia; Primates; Hominidae
Description: novel transcript
Source: RNAcentral
CCUGUGUUUAAUUUGUUUGUAGUUGACUGCAAGGCCUCUGAGGCACGGGAAUUCACAGCUGAGUUCUUGGAGAAGGUCCUUGAGCCAUCUGGAUGGCGGACAGUCUGGCACAUGAUGUGCUCAAGGUGCUGCUUGAGGCCACAGAUGUGGACAUUUCAGCCUUGAAGGCAGUGGUGCAGCUUGCUGAGCCAUACCUCUGUGAAUCUUGAGCGAGUACUUUCACCUUGGAGUGUGUGAAAGAGCUCCUCGAGCUGAAGGAACAUCAGUUGCCCCUGAAGGAGCUGGGUGGUGUUUGAUGAUUCUGGAGACAGCACUUGUAACUUGUAACUGAGCAUGUCAGCUAGGAAGGAGGUAUCUGGUCAGAGAAGGUGUUUUCUGAGGCUGCUUCCUGGAUCCCUAGGGUUUGUGUUCCUGCCAUUCAGCCUAUUUGGCAGUUAUUUCCACCUGUACAAACAGACCCUUUGUCCCUUACAUGAGAAAGAAAGCCCACACCUGGAUUCAUAUUAAUAGGAUAUGGUCUACCAAUUAAUAUUGUGAUAGAAAAGAGGGAAAAAGGUGACACUUCUGUGGACUGCAUGAAUGAGGAUAUUAACAUCUCAGGCAUAAGAUUUGUUCAGCAUGGUGUUAUAAAAGAAAUCUUAAAUGUC